CAGUCGCCGCGGGAAUACGAAGGGGGCUAGCGUUGUUCGGAAUGACUGGGCGUAAAGGGCGCGUAGGCGGCGGCCAAAGUCAGGCGUGAAAUUCCCGGGCUCAACCUGGGGGCUGCGUUUGAUACUUGGUUGCUUGAGUGGGGAAGAGGGUCGUGGAAUUCCCAGUGUAGAGGUGAAAUUCGUGGAUAUUGGGAAGAACACCGGUGGCGAAGGCGGCGACCUGGUCCUUUACUGACGCUGAGGCGCGAAAGCGUGGGGAGCAAACAGGAUUAGAGACCCCUGUAGUCCCUGUCUCUUAUAC
This 301-nucleotide ribosomal RNA is filed under the name uncultured bacterium. RNAcentral's name for it is "partial 16S ribosomal RNA". It matches the Rfam family "Bacterial small subunit ribosomal RNA", at positions 509 to 807 of the family's 1533-position model. The record is from RNAcentral.